Long non-coding RNA from Enhydra lutris kenyoni (northern sea otter), 1536 nucleotides. RefSeq lists it as uncharacterized. The record is from RefSeq and is a predicted model, not a curated record. The transcript has 3 exons. Lineage: Eukaryota; Metazoa; Chordata; Mammalia; Carnivora; Mustelidae.
ACUCUUGAGUUCUCAGCAGUGACUGCAGACUGCAAGGGAUUCCGUACUUUCAGGAAGGAAGGUAAUGUUGGAGACGGCAGAGUGUUUGACAAACGGGGUGAGCUAGAACAAGGACCAACUGAAGACAGCCCGCUAGGCCCAGAGGAUGAGAGCCUUUGAGGAGAGGACCCUCUAGCUUUGGUUAUUGCAGGAGGGAUCCUCAAGCCAGUCUGAGCCUCAGCCCUGCUCAUCGGUGACUGCACCCCUGCAGGCCAGACGCUGGGCCAGCAUCACACUUGUCCCGUCCCCAAGCAGCUGCAGCCUGCCUCCUUCACCAGUGCCCACAGCCACCGGCGUCAGGCGCUCUCUCUCCUGCAUGCAUGUGAAUGACCAUGCUGACCCUCCAGACAUGCCCGAACCAAAAACCUUGGGGCCAGUUUCUUUCUUUUGGCUCCAGCCCUGGCAUUCUGCAGGCCUUAGCUCCCGUGUCAUCUUCCCGGCAUUCUGCAGGCCUUAGCUCCCGUGUCAUCUUCCCGUGGGCCUCCUUCCAGACCCCGUGUUUAGCCUCAGCCCCCUUCCCUGAUUUCCUCUCCUGCAGCCCGUCUCCACCUGACCGGGAGCGCUCACCGACAGCCACUGCUUUCCUGGGCUCCGCUUGGGAUCUCGCCUGGGAGCGAAGGCUGGGCAGCUCUAGGCUCGAGCUCCAACUUCUGCGCCAACAGUCCGCACCCCACAGGCCAGGCGCCCGACGGGAGGUUCUGCAAGUGUGUCGGAGAUACCCCUGGGGCCGAGGGCCGUGGACACUGGGGUGUCCUGUGGAGCCGGCGGGCCCACUGCGAGCUGGACCCCACGCUGACGUUAGGGCUGUAGGGGUCCAUGCUGUGGCUUCUGGCCGCCGUCGGACCCUGUGUCCAGGGACUCGGAUGCCUCUGGCCCUUCCCGGGCCCCGGUGUGCAGCUCCGUGAGCCCGUGGCCACGGGUGUGUUGGGCCCAGGGGCCGCGGCCACCUAGAUGUGCUGUGGUGUUCCCGGGCCCUUCCUCCAGGGGACUGGCCCUGUCCUUUCGUCACUGGGGUCCAAGCUGGAAACCUGGCUCAGGUGCAGACGGGGACAGAGGACGGGGCUGUUCAGUGCGCGCAGCCUUUACGCCGUUUUCCACCCGGGCCUCUUGUGAGGAGCUAGAGCCAGUGGCCCCCGGUCGGCUCCCCAGCUGCCGUGUCCCCACUCUCAGGGGGUCCGGCGUCCCUCGCUGCCCGCUGGUCUCGCCACUCAGGACAGUGGGUCCAGCCGCCGGCCUUCCCCGAGCCCGGCCCUCCCCGCUCCAGUCCUCCCGCCGGCCGUGCCCGUUCUGUCGUGACGCGGGGCCCCCACUCCCUCCGUGCUCCGGGAGCCCUUCUUAACCUCGGGGAGUGCGAGCGUCCCCUCGAGCCGGCCCCCGUGUCCCCCGUGUCCCUGUCCCAGCCCGCUCUUCCCGCGCCGCGACUUCACGCCGCCGCGGGCCCCUGCGAGCGCGCCCCUCCGCCUUCUUGGCAGGCGAAGCAAGCUUGUGAAAGCGGGU